Molecule: long non-coding RNA, 2940 nt
Organism: Brassica napus (rape)
Lineage: Eukaryota; Viridiplantae; Streptophyta; Magnoliopsida; Brassicales; Brassicaceae
Exons: 6
Source: RefSeq, a predicted model, not a curated record
AUGACAUUUAAAAAUUUUAAAAUAAUUUAAAUGGGUUAUUCAAACCCGAACAGAACCCGCAAAAAUCCGAACCAAACCAAAACCGAAAUUUAGAAAUACCUAAAUGGAGCUGAAAUCUUUGAAUCGGAAAAUCUGAAAUUUUAUUAGAUACAUAACCCGAAUGGGUACCCAAACACCCACCCUAGUGAUAAUAAUGCAGAGUAUCUAGAAGAUCUCAUUUAUCUUUUAAUUGGCUUUAUUGUUUAUUUUAAAUGUAGUAAAGCUUGUAUGAUUCUAUUAUACUAUAUAUUAUGCAUUGCAAUAGAUUUUAGUUUAUUAUUUUAGUAUAAUAAAUAAUAUUUUUUGUUUUGGUGAUUAUAUAAAGAUGUGAGAAUUUCAAGUUUACCAUUGGAAGUAGAAUAGGAAACGCUCGAAACUGGAAAUAACUCGUCCAAUGAGACUCGGUCUAAACUUUCGAAUGAUUACUUGUCGCACAAGCCACACCUAAUUACAAGAUUUCAUCAUGCACAAGAUACAAAUAGGGUUAUAUGCUGCAGAUAUUGCUUGUACCGAAAGUAACAAGGAAGAUAACACGUACGCAGCUACACGGCUUGGAUCACGGUGGCUGGUACAAUCUCCGUUGAUCACUGCACGACUCUCCGGUUACAUGUACCGCUCCUCCAGUGACCCACGUUAAUGAUGGGGGUGAUUGUGUGGUGAGACUGUGGAUCCAAUUCCAUUUGUCUUCUCUCCCUCUCGACUUUGAUCACAUUCGUCGUGUUACGGACCUGGUACGAGAUGACUACACGUGAAAGGUGAUAGAUCCCUGACGGUAAGGCUGCGACAAUGGGCGAUGGUGAUGGCACGCAACGGAUUGACAUCAAGUCCUGAACUAAAAGGGCGGUGGUUUUAUAUGGACGCUGGCUCAGACAUUGUUAUUGUUAGACACUUACUAAACACACAAUAAGUACAAUAGUUACCAGAUAUAAUAUGUAUGAGAUACUUUUGUCGUUCUCCUCAACUUUGUAUAUUCGUUCUUACAUUAUUUAAAUUUUAAUCACCAUUAUUAAGCCGUUAAUUUUCAAAGCCAAUCAAAUAAUUCUUGAAAGAAAAUGGAAUAUUAAAAUAAGUGUUCAUUAAAAGGAUUGACUCACCGUAUAUUAAGUUCAAGAUUUAAGUGGUGGUCUUCCGAAAAAUCAUCAAAACUAUACUAAAAAGAACAUACUAAGCCCUCUAAGGGCGUCCAGGUCGGACUGGAAAUUCAGCCAGUAGGAUUGCAGCAUUCUUCCACGUCAUUUAAUAGUUACUUUAGUUUGGGCUUUUGUGGUUUUUGGUCUGUAGUUUGGACUUUUGUUAUUUUCUGUUGGUAGGCUAUAGCCCAUAUUUUGCAACUGAUUUUGUUCUUCACCACGAACUGUUCUCUUCCACUUAUCGUAACUUUCAGGAUUUUAUUUUUCAUUAAUGUUGGGAUUCUUUUGAUCCGUUAGACUCUCUUUGUUAUCCCCUUUCUUCCACUUCGUAACAUACAGCUUCUCCACCAUAAAAAAACGAUAAAUAUCUUAUUCAAUUCAGAAACCACACUCAGACAAUUCUCUUUUGCACUUCCCAAACUUUCUAUAUAUUUUCCCAAAAAAAAACAAAGGGAUGACACGAAUAAUCUCAAUCUUUUAAGAACUACUGAAGAAGUACAUAGAAGCCAAAAAAGAAUUCAAAGGAAACAGAGAAGCCAACGAAAACUCCAAAGAUUUUCCGACGUAGCCAAACCUCCCCAGCGACCACUAUCUGUUCCGCCCACAGAUGGGCCAAUUAUCUUAGACUUCAGUUUCACCACCGAGCCUCUACCGCACUGCCACUUUGUUUUCUUCGCGACCAUCUGUUCCCAUUGACAUCAGUUUUUUAUCAUGGAGGAAGGAGCGAGUCCCCUUGCACCAGAUUUACGUGCUAAAAUGGAUGAGACCUUUGAGGAGAUCAUCCUGCAAACUUAUAUCUUGGAGCUUCUUAGUUUACUGUUCGGUUAUGAUCCCGCAAACUUAUGUAUCUCACCCUUGCAGAGCUCAACCAAUGCUGUUGAUAUCUGAUCCUCAGGUCAAAUUCUCAACUAUCUCAAGUUACCCUCUUAAUUGUUACGGUUCUCUUACUGAUUACAGAUUAUUGAGUUUCUAUGUAAGGCAAAAGUAACUGGUAUCCAUGCAUAUAAAGGUUGGUGUUACAUUGGUUGCUCUAGCGAGAGAUUUCUUCUUUCACAUUCAUCGUAUGUGAUAAAUCUGUCCUAAGGUAUCAUGUGUAUCAGACGAGCUGGAUGAGGCUGUCUUUGUCGCUUUUGAUAUGGAGAUGGAAAAGUUGGCAAACAUUCAAGCUGCUGAAGCUGCACAAAUUUUGGGUCUCAUGUGGACAACGAACUACCCCACUUUGUAGCCUGAUAUUAUAGGCACAAAACCUACACUUUUCCAGCUCAAGCUAUGGAAGUUUAAUUUCACUUCCAAGCACCAAACCUUCACCGUUUCCCGUAUCAUUUCUUAGGAACAGCGUGCACCACUCCCAGAAUUUGUCAUACAAAGAAACCAGUAGCACCAUAGCGCUCAACUGGUGAGCAAAACACUGUUGUAGAGGUAUCACGUUGUGCGACAGCAAAAGUCCGAGAGACUACAAGUGACGACCCUCAACUAUCCUCAUCUGCUGUACCAGCAAGCGUUCGUCAUGCGGCAAACAAGUCGAAGCUUGAUCCAAAUGAGAGUGGAAAAAGAAGGCACACAAGACAUAGCUCCACGUGACAAGGAAAGUCCACCUCUGUUUGCUUGAAAUAAUCUUAUAGGGUCACUUUCUAUUUUACAUUAUUAAACUAAAUGUAGUGGUGGAUCUUUGAGUUAUUAUUGCAAAUUUAUUUCCUCAAAUGGCUUUCUCUUUGUUUUAAGACGUAGAGUCUAAUAAUGUAAAAUAACGGUGGAUCAAAAUAUUAUUUUA